UUUUGCAGUUCUUUCUGGGCAAGCUAACAACACAAACAGAGAGGUGCACAGUAAGAUCACAAUAAAGAUAAAUGAGACAAGCUCAAUUUUAUUGCGACUUAUGAGGGCUUUUAACCCAUAGUCACCACUAAUAGCCAGUAUCUAAAUCCAGCCUUCCUCUUAUUUCCAGUAAAGAGGAUCCCACUCAGCCAGAAGACAUAAUUUGGUUGCUACAACCACAUAGAUAUGAAUUAAAGAGAAAUAAAACACAUGAAUUUGAGAAUGUCAAGAAUCAAUGUCAAGAAUCAAGGUCUAUCAUAAUCUGGUCAUUGGUCAAAGUAGGAGUUGUUCAGGUUG
RNAcentral lists this unclassified non-coding RNA (336 nucleotides) under Hevea brasiliensis (rubber tree). The record is from RNAcentral. Lineage: Eukaryota; Viridiplantae; Streptophyta; Magnoliopsida; Malpighiales; Euphorbiaceae.